Molecule: unclassified non-coding RNA, 235 nt
Filed under: Homo sapiens (human)
Lineage: Eukaryota; Metazoa; Chordata; Mammalia; Primates; Hominidae
Description: partial T-cell receptor rearranging element
Source: RNAcentral
AUGCAUCAUCGAUUCAUUCAUUCCAAACUAAAAGUCCCUUAAGGCUUUCAAAUUGAUGUACUGAGUAUUGUGAAGGAUACCAACAUAUAUAACAAACACUUCUCAAAUAAUAAAAUGUAUUCAGCAGGUACAAUCUCCUCACUUUUAUGUUGCUAAACCAUGAGAAAUUAAAAUUAAAUCCUGUAUAAUUACUUGAAUCUUCCAGCUGACAAAUAAAAGUAGUCUUUGUAUUGGG